AUAAGUAAACUUUUGAGAUUAUUUACCACGAACCCAUUUCGAACUCGAAAGGUAUUUAUAAUAAUCUCAACGUAGAUACCUAAAAAGGGACAUACGUUUAUUAUUUUU
Molecule: ribosomal RNA, 108 nt
Filed under: Vischeria punctata
Lineage: Eukaryota; Eustigmatophyceae; Eustigmatales; Chlorobotryaceae
Also listed under: 1 other name
Source: RNAcentral